GCAUAUCAAUAAGCGGAAGGAAAAGAAACCAACCAGGGAUUGCCUCAGUAACGGCGAGUGAAGCGAGCAACAGCUCAAAUUUGAAAUCUGGCCUCCUGGUCCGAGUUGUAAUUUGCAGAGGAUGCUUCGGGCGCGGUGCCUUUCCAAGUCCCCUGGAACGGGGCGCCGGAGAGGGUGAGAGCCCCGUACGGUUGGCGGCCAAGCCUGUGUGAAGCUCCUUCGACGAGUCGAGUAGUUUGGGAAUGCUGCUCUAAGCGGGAGGUAGACCCCUUCUAAAGCUAAAUAUUGGCCAGAGACCGAUAGCGCACAAGUAGAGUGAUCGAAAGAUGAAAAGCACUUUGAAAAGAGGGUUAAACAGCACGUGAAAUUGUUGAAAGGGAAGCGCUUGAGACCAGACGUGCGCCGGGGUGCUCAGCGGGCGUUCUCGCCCGUGCACUCGCCCCGGCGCAGGCCAGCGUCGGUUUGGGCGGGGGGAUAAAGGCGUCUGGAAUGUGGCUCCCCCGGGAGUGUUAUAGCCAGGCGUGCCAUGCCUCCGCCCGGACCGAGGUACGCGUUCUGCAAGGACGCUGGCGUAAUGGUCCCCAGCGACCCGUCUUGAAACACGGACCAAGGAGUCGAGGUUUUGCGCGAGUGUUUGGGUGAAAAACCCGCACGCGUAAUGAAAGUGAACGUAGGUGAGAGCUUCGGCGCAUCACCGACCGAUCCUGAUGUUUUCGGAUGGAUUUGAGUAAGAGCGUAGGGCCUCGGACCCGAAAGAUGGUGAACUAUGCUUGGAUAGGGUGAAGCCAGAGGAAACUCUGGUGGGAGGCUCGCAGCGGUUCUGACGUGCAAAUCGAUCGUCAAAUCUGAGCAUGGGGGGCGAAAGACUAAUCGAAACCAUCUAGUAGCUGGGUUACCGCCGGAAGU
RNAcentral lists this ribosomal RNA (906 nucleotides) under Chloridium virescens var. chlamydosporum. Its description in RNAcentral is "LSU rRNA". It matches the Rfam family "Eukaryotic large subunit ribosomal RNA", at positions 38 to 967 of the family's 3401-position model. The record is from RNAcentral. Lineage: Eukaryota; Fungi; Ascomycota; Sordariomycetes; Chaetosphaeriales; Chaetosphaeriaceae.